This 211-nucleotide long non-coding RNA is filed under the name Mytilus galloprovincialis (Mediterranean mussel). The record is from RNAcentral. Lineage: Eukaryota; Metazoa; Mollusca; Bivalvia; Mytilida; Mytilidae.
CCAGAAAUGAAGACAAUUACAAUACCGGAUCAGAUUCCGGGGUUGGAUAAUCAUGAUAAUGGUUAAUUCAGGAUUUGCUGAUCAAAUACAAUAAAAAAAAAUCCAGGCAGGUGACAAAAUUCAUCUUUGAUGAUGAAAUAAUAAUUCAAAUAUAAAAACCAAAAGAUAUAUGGAAAAGAAAGACAAAGCAGGAAAUAUUUUAUACAGAAAC